This 1525-nucleotide long non-coding RNA is filed under the name Homo sapiens (human). RNAcentral's name for it is "non-protein coding lnc-EZH2-7:7". The record is from RNAcentral. Lineage: Eukaryota; Metazoa; Chordata; Mammalia; Primates; Hominidae.
GCCUUCCCUGCGCGGCUCCCCGCCCUCUCGGCCUCACCGGCUCCGGCGACCGCGGGGGAGAAGCUGUUGGGGGAGGGCCGGAACGCACCGCCAUCGGCGUCCGGGGCGGGGGAGCCGGGAAACCGUCGUCGCCAUCGCCCCGCCAGCCCGAGGCGCGGGAGGGGCCCGGAAAGCUCCCUCCCGCCCGCUCGCCGCUGCCGGCGGCCCCGGGGGCGCCCCUUCCGCGGCCGAGGCCCCCGCUCGCGUGGGGAAGCUUCUACCUGCGAGCCUGCGGCCCCUGCCCCCGGCACCCGAGACAUCCCCGACCCGGCGCGCCGGAUUCUCUGCCAGGUUUUACAGCCUCCCUCGCCUUGGGACCGCCGCGGAGGACCCGUUCCCGCCACUUCGGACCUCGCGAGCGGGGCUGAGCUGCUUGGGUCGGGGACACCACCAGCCUCUGGAGAAACGGCCCGAAGCACCCCGAAGAAGAGGGGGUCCCAGUCCCCUGCCCCUCCCUUGUGCGCACCCCCACCCCCAGCUUGCCUGGAACCUGACUCCACACCUUUGUCGACCGGGACAGGGACUGGGGGUUGCACCCCAGAUCAGAAAGUCAGAGGUGGCCCUCCGAAUCGGCGCGGACUUCCGAGGAACCUCAGCCAAUUCUCGACCCCCUUACCACCUGCAAGGCCUUAGGAAUCGGCUCCAGAAAGCUCGAGCUUAUCUGCGUGUUUCGUUUUAAAAAUCACUUCUAAGAUAAAACCUAACUAGGCUUUCCCCUUCAGACUUUCAGUAACUCCUGUUUGGCAAAUUUUGACAUUCACUCUAUCCUUCGUCUUUGUAAGGACAUAUCAAGACUUAGAAGGCUUUGAUUACACAUACGGAUGGCAUGAGUCGUGAUAUAAAAUAGUAUUGUUUUCACGUGUACUUCGAAGUCAUCUCAUUUGAAAUUAACUGUCAUAAUUGACUAUUUGGAAUAUUCAACCUAAAUACUACCCGCUGCUGUGGUGACGGGGGGUGGAGGAAGCGUGGUGGAACCCCAACACCUAGUGAGGGGUGGCUGAUUAAUACCACGGCUCACAACAUAACAGAGCGGCUCAUUCCAUGAACAACCCCGGGGGGAUUUCGAAUUCUAUCAUCUGGGCAAAAGAUGUGAUGAGUGUAACUUCCUGUUUUCUCCAAACUAAAACACUACGCAGAUUCCUGUACCGCUCUGGGACAGAAAUCCUCAGCCAGAGCAGAGGCCGUCCCCAGAGUCCACACUGUUUCCUGCAUAAAGUGGGUUAUCUCAGAAGAAACAUCCCACUGGUCUGUGUGAUCCUUCUAUUGAAAUGUGGUCUUUUAUCUACAUCUAAGUAUCUCUAGAAGUAAUGCGUUUGUAUGUACUUGUCACUCAGAUAUGUAAUCCCUUAAUUUGUGCGGGGUUUUGGGGUGUGAAAAAUUCUUGGUUUAUAUCCUACACUUUUAAAUAACCUCGUCAAAACUUACAUGUAUUUAACACCUUUUUUUGUGAGCACAUGGUAAGGUUGGAAGUAAAAAUGGAAGGUUU